RNAcentral lists this ribosomal RNA (472 nucleotides) under uncultured bacterium. Its description in RNAcentral is "bacterial SSU rRNA". It matches the Rfam family "Bacterial small subunit ribosomal RNA", at positions 335 to 803 of the family's 1533-position model. The record is from RNAcentral.
ACUCCUACGGGAGGCAGCAGUGGGGAAUAUUGCACAAUGGGGGAAACCCUGAUGCAGCCAUGCCGCGUGUGUGAAGAAGGCCUUCGGGUUGUAAAGCACUUUCAGUUGUGAGGAAAGGUUGGUAGUUAAUACCUGUCAGCUGUGACGUUAACAACAGAAGAAGCACCGGCUAANCUCGCAGCAGCGCCGGGUAAUACGGAGGGUGCGAGCGUUAAUCGGAAUUACUGGGCGUAAAGCGCACGCAGGCGGCUUGUUAAGCUAGAGGUGAAAGCCCCGCGCUCAACGUGGGAACUGCCUUUAGAACUGGCAGGCUAGAGUCUUGGAGAGGGGAGUGGAAUUCCAGGUGUAGCGGUGAAAUGCGUAGAUAUCUGGAGGAACAUCAGUGGCGAAGGCGGCUCCCUGGCCAAAGACUGACGCUCAUGUGCGAAAGUGUGGGUAGCGAACAGGAUUAGAUACCCUGGUAGGAUAGCGU